RNAcentral lists this long non-coding RNA (621 nucleotides) under Phoenix dactylifera (date palm). RNAcentral's name for it is "long non-coding RNA (PDAC_LNC008179)". The record is from RNAcentral. Lineage: Eukaryota; Viridiplantae; Streptophyta; Magnoliopsida; Arecales; Arecaceae.
AAAGGCUAGUGAAAGAGGAUCAAGAUAAGAAUAGGAAUUAGUUUAGUAUGACAAAGAUUAGAUUGGUGGGGUAGGGGGGUGGUGGUGAGGAGGAGGGGCGAGAGGAAGAGGAGAGGAGACAGGGUCAGUGAUAUCUUUGAAAGGUAUGUAUUGCAGCAAGGGUUGGUAUCACAAGGACGUGCAUGAAUGCAAAGAACAUUUCAGUGCAACUUCCUAAUACUAAGACAAGUCAAUUGGAUGGUUAAAAUCUCAAAUUCUUUUUUUUAACAUUUAUAUUUACAUGAGACAAAAGUAAGCACUCUGGUGAUUUUUUUCGGAAAGAAUAUUGAAUUAUUGUCUAAAAUUAUGUGUGCUAUAACUUAUAAUGGUUGUUUUGGAAGAGGUUCAUUAGAUCAUAGAUAUUAAUAAUAUUUAAAUAUUAGCUAUUCUUUCUUUUUGUAACUAGCUACUCUUCCUUUAAAUAUUAGUCGGUGGCUUCCAUACCAAAUGAAUGAUUAUAAUAGUAAUUCAGUCUUAAAAAAAAAACUUUAAGUUAUUAUGUGAUGGACACAUGACACUACUCUUUAAGAUCAUAUUGAUAGAGACGAAUAUAGGAUCACCUUGGAUCAAUUUGCUGACUUC